UUAUUUUAUUUUAUUUUAUUUUAAGGCGGGGCAUAUUUGACUUUACGACUAGUAUCAGUGUACGGAUACCAAUCUCGAUGUCUUCCCCUCCCUUUGUGAGAUUUUUUGAGUCUUUCAAUUGACUUACGGUUUCCCUCCUGCCCCCUCUGUGCCAAGGAAUAGAACAUUUCUUUGAUUGAUAGGUCAGAUAGGAAGCAGACACGCAAACCAAGUCUUUCCAGUCGGUGCGCUCAUUCCGAAUUUAUUUGUACCGCGCAGAACUUUCACUUAUAUAUGCUAUUUUUUGCAUAAGGGCCCAAGCGGAAUCCUUACGACAAGUUCGCUUAGGGUGUUGCUAGCGUAGGAGGACUGCGAUCGGCCUAUAUACUACCUUACCUGUUUUCGAGUGUGGAAGCAAGCGGUCCUUUGUUUUGUUUUGUUAAGGCUGUUCGAGUUCUAUUAUUGACAAGGUUCAAAGCCAUAAAGAAUCGAUUUCAAAAUAAAAUGCUAGCAGAUGGCGGGCCCCUUUCACUUGGGCUAAUUCCCGCUUUCAAGCGUAGGCUGCGAUGUGGCAUAAAGAUGAAGAUACUAAGGUGGAUUGGAACUCAUGGUCAGCUUUCUUUCGUCGAGGUUACUUCUGCAUUAAAUCCUGGCACAGGGUUUUCG
This 645-nucleotide unclassified non-coding RNA is filed under the name Hevea brasiliensis (rubber tree). Lineage: Eukaryota; Viridiplantae; Streptophyta; Magnoliopsida; Malpighiales; Euphorbiaceae. The record is from RNAcentral.